AGUGGGAUAGCUGGGUCAAGUGGUGGUUCCAUUCCAAAUUUUCUAAGGAAUCUCCAUACUACUUUCCAGAGUGGUUGCACUAAUUUGUAGUCCCACCAGUAAU
Molecule: microRNA precursor, 103 nt
Filed under: Marmota monax (woodchuck)
Lineage: Eukaryota; Metazoa; Chordata; Mammalia; Rodentia; Sciuridae
Source: RNAcentral